AUUGAACGCUGGCGGCAUGCCUUACACAUGCAAGUCGAACGGUAACGGGCCUUCGGGUGCCGACGAGUGGCGAACGGGUGAGUAAUACAUCGGAACGUGCCCGAUCGUGGGGGAUAACGAGGCGAAAGCUUUGCUAAUACCGCAUACGAUCUACGGAUGAAAGCAGGGGACCGCAAGGCCUUGCGCGGACGGAGCGGCCGAUGGCAGAUUAGGUAGUUGGUGGGAUAAAAGCUUACCAAGCCGACGAUCUGUAGCUGGUCUGAGAGGAUGAUCAGCCACACUGGGACUGAGGCACGGCCCAGACUCCUACGGGAGGCAGCAGUGGGGAAUUUUGGACAAUGGGCGCAAGCCUGAUCCAGCCAUGCCGCGUGCAGGAUGAAGGCCUUCGGGUUGUAAACUGCUUUUGUACGGAACGAAAAGCCUUCUUUUAAUACAGGAGGGUCAUGACGGUACCGGAAGAAUAAGCACCGGCUAACUACGUG
Molecule: ribosomal RNA, 482 nt
Filed under: uncultured bacterium
Lineage: Bacteria
Description: partial 16S ribosomal RNA
Rfam family: Bacterial small subunit ribosomal RNA
Source: RNAcentral